CCUACGGGUGGCAGCAGUGAGGAAUAUUGGUCAAUGGGAGAGAUCCUGAACCAGCCAAGCAGCGUGAGGGAAGACGGCCCUAUGGGUUGUAAACCUCUUUUGUCGGAGAACAAAACCCGGGACGUGUCCCGGACUGCGUGUAUCCGAAGAAAAAGCAUCGGCUAACUCCGUGCCAGCAGCCGCGGUAAGACGGAGGAUGGGAGCGUUAUCCGGAUUUAUGGGGUUUAAAGGGUGCGUAGGCGGUCCGUUAAGUCAGCGGUAAAAUUGCGGGGCUCAACCCCGUCGAGCCGUUGAAACUGGCUGACUUGAGUUGGCGAGAAGUACGCGGAAUGCGCGGUGUAGCGGUGAAAUGCAUAGAUAUCGCGCAGAACUCCGAUUGCGAAGGCAGCGUACCGGCGCCAGACUGACGCUGAGGCACGAAAGCGUGGGGAUCGAACAGGAUUAGAUACCCUAGUAGUC
RNAcentral lists this ribosomal RNA (459 nucleotides) under uncultured bacterium. Its description in RNAcentral is "partial 16S ribosomal RNA". It matches the Rfam family "Bacterial small subunit ribosomal RNA", at positions 338 to 795 of the family's 1533-position model. The record is from RNAcentral.